RNAcentral lists this ribosomal RNA (450 nucleotides) under uncultured bacterium. RNAcentral's name for it is "partial 16S ribosomal RNA". It matches the Rfam family "Bacterial small subunit ribosomal RNA", at positions 354 to 796 of the family's 1533-position model. The record is from RNAcentral.
GUGGGGAAUCUUCCGCAAUGGACGAAAGUCUGACGGAGCGACGCCGCGUGAGUGAAGAAGGCCUUCGGGUCGUAAAGCUCUGUCAUCAGGGACGAACGGCCGGUGGAGUGGAAAGCCACCGGAUUGACGGUACCUGAGAAGGAAGCCACGGCUAACUACGUGCCAGCAGCCGCGGUAAUACGUAGGUGGCAAGCGUUGUCCGGAAUUAUUGGGCGUAAAGCGCGCGCAGGUGGGAUCUUAAGUCCAUUUUGAAAGUUCGGAGCUCAACUCCGUGAUGGGAUGGAAACUGGGAUUCUUGAGUACCGGAGAGGAAAGCGGAAUUCCCCGUGUAGCGGUGAAAUGCGUAGAUAUGGGGAGGAACACCAGUGGCGAAGGCGGCUUUCUGGACGGUGUCUGACACUGAGGCGCGAAAGCUAGGGGAGCGAACGGGAUUAGAAACCCCAGUAGUCC